AUUAUCACUGCCAUGUAGUUUUAUGGUAGUAAUUAGUGGAGGAAAAAAAUUGAAGAGAGAAGAGGUUUCUCAACUAUUUUGUUUGAAAAGGCUUCCUUUUCAGACAUCUUGUGUUACAAGGGUGGCUAUUCUGUUAGGAUCAGAGUUUGGUGAAGGGCUAUAGGAAGUUGCUGGCGCUUCUUUUGAAGUGGGAGCUUGGGAGGUGAGGCACAGAAGUCAAUACACAAAGUGAUUGGAAGUUAGGAUCUUCUUGGGUUUGUGUUUUCAGACAUGGGUUUUGUGUUUCUUUGAGAAAUGGAAGAUGAAAGGAAGACAACAGAGAAGGGACUUCAAACCCUUGGCUUUGAUACCAUGAAUGAGGAAAAGAAAGGAGAACUUGGAAUAAAUUAGCUUGAUUAUUCUCUCAAGCUGUUGGGGGAUAUAUACAAUUACAAAAUCAUUAAUUAGGAACUAUAGGAAAAACUAAUUAGGAAAACACAAUUGAGGCACUAUUUAGGCAUUACAAUUACUCUAUAUAAUUUCCUAAUCUAAGGCAUAAUUACAGUAUCUCAACAUUAACAAUAAUCUUGUAAAAAGUAUACAUCAUAAAAACUAAAAAAAAAAAAUUAUUAUUUGACUUGGCGUUCAUAGGCUUAGGGAUUAUGCUAGUUAAGUGUAAUUCACGUAUUGUGAACUGAAUUGACAUGAUUUACAUACCACGUUCCAAAUUGACGUACGAACAAAG
RNAcentral lists this unclassified non-coding RNA (724 nucleotides) under Hevea brasiliensis (rubber tree). The record is from RNAcentral. Lineage: Eukaryota; Viridiplantae; Streptophyta; Magnoliopsida; Malpighiales; Euphorbiaceae.